Molecule: long non-coding RNA, 96 nt
Filed under: Bos indicus x Bos taurus (hybrid cattle)
Lineage: Eukaryota; Metazoa; Chordata; Mammalia; Artiodactyla; Bovidae
Description: lncRNA (ENSBIXG00005012836.1)
Source: RNAcentral
CCUCCGGAGGCGCUGACGUCAGCCCGAGCGGCGGCCGCGGAGCGUUUCUGGAAAACACCCAGGAAGAGCUAAUUUCAGAGCCAAACACAAGUGAAC